RNAcentral lists this ribosomal RNA (255 nucleotides) under uncultured bacterium. RNAcentral describes it as "partial 16S ribosomal RNA". It matches the Rfam family "Bacterial small subunit ribosomal RNA", at positions 524 to 776 of the family's 1533-position model. The record is from RNAcentral.
UACAGAGGUCUCAAGCGUUUGUUCGGAUUCAUUGGGCGUAAAGGGUGCGUAGGUGGCGCGCUAAGUCGGGUGUGAAAUUUCGGAGCUUAACUCCGAAACUGCAUUCGAUACUGGCGUGCUUGAGGACUGGAGAGGAGACUGGAAUUCAUGGUGUAGCAGUGAAAUGCGUAGAGAUCAUGAGGAAGACCAGUGGCGAAGGCGGGUCUCUGGACAGUUCCUGACACUGGAGGCACGAAGGCCAGGGGAGCAAACGGG